GCGUCAUAGCGUACCCCCCCACUAAUUCCCUCACAAACCUCACCCCCUGAAAUACAACGGAGCUACUCUACCCACUAAUAGAGGCACUAAUGUUAAAACUAGUAAUAAGAAACACUCUCUGCGCACCCUUCUCAAUCAGAAAUAGAUAAGCUACUGAAAAUUAACAAGCCCCCAAAAAGAACAUUAAACACCUCAAGCCACUUUACCGAACCUCUGUAACCCCAACACAGGUGUGCGACUAAGAAAGAUAAAAAGCUUAACAAGGAAUUCAGCUAAUAGAUCCCAACUGUUUACCAAAAACAUAGCCUUUAGCAUAACAAGUAUUAAAGGUCUCGCCUGCCCAGUGAAUCAUUCAACGGCCGCGGUAUCCUAACCGUGCAAAGGUAGCGUAAUCAUUUGUCCUCUAAAUAAGGACUCGCAUGAACGGCUAACUGAGGUUCUAACUGUCUCAUUAAGCCCAUCAAUGAAACUGAUCUUUCAGUACAAAAGCUGAAAUAAAAACAUAAGACGAGAAGACCCUGCGGAGCUUUAAACUAAUACUAUCAACCACCUUUUUCCCCCAAAGGCACAUCACGAAAUUCAAUAGUAUAAGUUUUCAGUUGGGGCGACUUUGGAAUAAAAAAAAACUUCCAUGCCAGGAACCUCUUCCUAUUUAGGCAAACAUGCCAAAACACACCUAUUGACCCAGUCUAACUGAGCCAC
RNAcentral lists this ribosomal RNA (702 nucleotides) under Lucasium damaeum (beaded gecko). Its description in RNAcentral is "partial 16S ribosomal RNA". The stretch from base 246 to 494 matches the Rfam family "Archaeal large subunit ribosomal RNA", at positions 1787 to 2143 of the family's 2987-position model. The record is from RNAcentral. Lineage: Eukaryota; Metazoa; Chordata; Lepidosauria; Squamata; Diplodactylidae.